CCCUUAGAUGUUCUGGGCUGCACGCGCGCUACACUGGUGCGUUCAGCGAGUUUAGCACCUUAACAGAUAUGUUUGGGUAAUCUUCUGAAAACGCACCGUGAUGGGGAUCGAUUAUUGUAAUUAUUAAUCGUCAACGAGGAAUUCCUAGUAAGUGUGAAUCAUCAGUUCGCGCUGAUUACGUCCCUGCCCUUUGUACACACCGCCCGUCGCUGCUACCGAUUGAGUGGUACGGUGAAUUAUUCGGACCGGUGGACUGUGGGGAAACCCGCGGCCUGCUGGGAAGUCUUGUGAACCUUAUCACUUAGAGGAAGCAGAAGUCGUAACA
Molecule: ribosomal RNA, 325 nt
Filed under: uncultured eukaryote
Lineage: Eukaryota
Description: partial 18S ribosomal RNA
Rfam family: Eukaryotic small subunit ribosomal RNA
Source: RNAcentral